Small nucleolar RNA from Sorex fumeus (smoky shrew), 134 nucleotides. RefSeq annotates it as small nucleolar RNA SNORA72. The transcript has a single exon. The record is from RefSeq and is a predicted model, not a curated record. NCBI's taxonomy places the organism in Eukaryota, Metazoa, Chordata, Mammalia, Eulipotyphla, Soricidae.
CUACAGAUAUUCUGGCUGCUCUGAUUCUGCCAAGACUCAGGACAGACUAAAGGCUCACUAGAACGAGGCCAGGCGUGUGUCCCCAGACCGAGUUCUUAACCUCCCCACGGCUGGUCUCGGAAAUGGGGAUAAGG